RNAcentral lists this ribosomal RNA (538 nucleotides) under uncultured archaeon. RNAcentral's name for it is "bacterial SSU rRNA". It matches the Rfam family "Archaeal small subunit ribosomal RNA", at positions 459 to 997 of the family's 1478-position model. The record is from RNAcentral.
CAGCCGCCGCGGGAACACCGGCAGCUCUAGUGGUAGCAAUUUUAUUGGGCCUAAAGCGUCCGUAGCCGGUUUAAUAAGUCUCUGGUGAAAUCCUGCAGCUUAACGUGUGGGAAUUGCUGGAGAUACUAUAGACUUGAGACCGGGAGAGGUUAGAGGUACUCCCAGGGUAGAGGUGAAAUUCUGUAAGUCCUGGGAGGACCGCCUGUUGCGAAGGCGUCUAACUGGAACGGUUCUGACGGUGAGGGACGAAAGUUAGGGGCGCGAACCGGAUUAGAUACCCGGGUAGUCCUAACUGUAAACGAUGCGGACUUGGUGUUGGGUGGCUUUGAGCUGCUUCAGUGCCGAAGGGAAGCUGUUAAGUCCGCCGCCUGGGAAGUACGGUCGCAAGACUGAAACUUAAGGAAUUGGCGGGGGAGCACCACAACGCGUGGAGCCUGCCGGUUUAAUUGGAUUCAACGCCGGACAUCUCACCAGAGGCGACAGCUGUAUGAUAGCCAGGUUGAUGACUUUGCUUGACUAGCUGAGUGGUGGUGCAUGG